This 484-nucleotide ribosomal RNA is filed under the name uncultured bacterium. RNAcentral's name for it is "bacterial SSU rRNA". It matches the Rfam family "Bacterial small subunit ribosomal RNA", at positions 30 to 507 of the family's 1533-position model. The record is from RNAcentral.
AUUGAACGCUGGCGGCAUGCCUUACACAUGCAAGUCGAACGGCAGCACGGGAGCAAUCCNGGUGGCGAGUGGCGAACGGGUGAGUAAUAUAUCGGAACGUGCCCAGUCGUGGGGGAUAACGUAGCGAAAGCUACGCUAAUACCGCAUACGAUCUAUGGAUGAAAGCGGGGGAUCGCAAGACCUCGCGCGAUUGGAGCGGCCGAUAUCAGAUUAGGUAGUUGGUGAGGUAAAGGCUCACCAAGCCGACGAUCUGUAGCUGGUCUGAGAGGACGACCAGCCACACUGGGACUGAGACACGGCCCAGACUCCUACGGGAGGCAGCAGUGGGGAAUUUUGGACAAUGGGCGCAAGCCUGAUCCAGCAAUGCCGCGUGCAGGAUGAAGGCCUUCGGGUUGUAAACUGCUUUUGUACGGAACGAAACGGUGAGCUCUAAUACAGUUUGCUAAUGACGGUACCGUAAGAAUAAGCACCGGCUAACUACGUG